CUUUGGGAUUUUCUUACAGCGA
RNAcentral lists this microRNA (22 nucleotides) under Arabidopsis lyrata. RNAcentral's name for it is "aly-miR4241". Lineage: Eukaryota; Viridiplantae; Streptophyta; Magnoliopsida; Brassicales; Brassicaceae. The record is from miRBase by way of RNAcentral.